Molecule: microRNA precursor, 142 nt
Filed under: Gossypium hirsutum (cotton)
Lineage: Eukaryota; Viridiplantae; Streptophyta; Magnoliopsida; Malvales; Malvaceae
Description: MIR7502 microRNA precursor family
Rfam family: MIR7502 microRNA precursor family
Source: Rfam by way of RNAcentral
UGUUAAAAAGUUUAUCUAUCUUUAUUGUUAAAAAUCGACAUAUCUGACAGAAUAACUAGACAAUUCGUGAUGUACCACAUGUACCUUAUUAUAAUGUAAAAGGACCAAUUUUCAAUAGUGGAAAUAAACAUAAUUUUUAACA